GCUGCAGUCGAGGAUCUUUCGCAAUGGGCAAAAGCCUGACGGAGCGACACUGUGUGAGGGAUGAAGGCCUUCGGGUUGUAAACCUCUUUCGCUUGGGAACAAGAGAGGAUCGUGAAUAACGGUCUAAUUUGAGGGUACCAGGUAAAGAAGCACCGGCUAACUCC
RNAcentral lists this ribosomal RNA (164 nucleotides) under uncultured Chlamydiales bacterium. RNAcentral's name for it is "partial 16S ribosomal RNA". It matches the Rfam family "Bacterial small subunit ribosomal RNA", at positions 348 to 504 of the family's 1533-position model. The record is from RNAcentral. Lineage: Bacteria; Pseudomonadati; Chlamydiota; Chlamydiia; Chlamydiales.